AUUGAACGCUGGCGGCAUGCUUUACACAUGCAAGUCGAACGGCAGCGCGGGCUUCGGCCUGGCGGCGAGUGGCGAACGGGUGAGUAAUACAUCGGAACGUGCCCAGUAGUGGGGGAUAGCUCGGCGAAAGCCGGAUUAAUACCGCAUACGACCUGAGGGUGAAAGCGGGGGAUCUUCGGACCUCGCGCUAUUGGAGCGGCCGAUGGCAGAUUAGCUAGUUGGUGGGGUAAAGGCCUACCAAGGCGACGAUCUGUAGCUGGACUGAGAGGACGACCAGCCACCCUGGGACUGAGACACGGCCCAGACUCCUAAGGGAGGCAGCAGUGGGGAAUUUUGGACAAUGGGCGAAAGCCUGAUCCAGCAAUGCCGAGUGUGUGAUGAAGGCCUUCUGGUUGUAAAGCACUUUUGGCGGGAACGAAAAGGACUGUGCCAAUACCACGGUUCGAUGACGGUACCCGCAGAAUAAGCACCGGCUAACUACGUG
Molecule: ribosomal RNA, 484 nt
Filed under: uncultured bacterium
Lineage: Bacteria
Description: partial 16S ribosomal RNA
Rfam family: Bacterial small subunit ribosomal RNA
Source: RNAcentral